RNAcentral lists this small RNA (554 nucleotides) under Pan troglodytes (chimpanzee). Its description in RNAcentral is "retained intron". Lineage: Eukaryota; Metazoa; Chordata; Mammalia; Primates; Hominidae. The record is from RNAcentral.
UUAUUUGUUUACUACCACGUAUACCUCUGUAGAAGAAGGUGGAUUGUUUUUCAAACUAAGAAACAAAACCUGUUCUGAAGUGGGCCUGUAUAUGUGCAAUGGCAGAGGGUUCUAACAUUGAAAUUAUUUUCUAAUGUUCAUAUUGAACUAGUGUUGAAAUGAAAACGUAAUUUUUGUCUUAAAAUUUUCAUCAUCUUGAAAACUGUAAAGGAUCCAUUGAUUUUGAAUGGCCAUGAGAGAAAUGCUUAUGAUAAAUAGCAUAAAACUGUCAGAUAAAUGGUGAUUCAUCUCUUACUAUUUAUAUUCUAAUUCACUUAUAUAUUUUUGUCUUUUGGUGGGACCCAUACAUUCUAUAGAAAAUUUCCCAGGAACGAGAAAAAUUUGCUGAUGAAGGCAGUAUAUUUUACACCCUUGGAGAAUGUGGGCUCAUAUCCUUUUCAGACUACAUUUUCCUCACAACUGUUCUUUCCACUCCUCAGAGAAAUUUUGAAAUUGCCUUCAAGAUGUUUGAUUUGAAUGGAGAUGGAGAAGUAGAUAUGGAAGAAUUUGAACAG